UACGGAAGGCAGCAGUGGGGAAUAUUGCACAAUGGGCGCAAGCCUGAUGCAGCCAUGCCGCGUGUAUGAAAAAGGCCUUCGGGUUGUAAAGUACUUUCAGUCGUGAGGAAGGUGUUAAGGUUAAUAACCUUAGCAAUUGACGUUAGCGACAGAAGAAGCACCGGCUAACUCCGUGCCAGCAGCCGCGGUAAUACGGAGGGUGCGAGCGUUAAUCGGAAUUACUGGGCGUAAAGGGCACGCAGGCGGUUAAUUAAGUUGGAUGUGAAAUCCCCGGGCUUAACCUGGGAAUGGCAUUCAAGACUGGUUAGCUAGAGUCUUGUAGAGGGGGUAGAAUUCCAUGUGUAGCGGUGAAAUGCGUAGAGAUGUGGAGGAAUACCGGUGGCGAAAGGCGGCCCCCUGGACAAAAGACUGACGCUCAUGUGCGAAAAGCGUGGGGAGCAAAACAGGGAUUAGAUACC
This 458-nucleotide ribosomal RNA is filed under the name uncultured bacterium. RNAcentral's name for it is "bacterial SSU rRNA". It matches the Rfam family "Bacterial small subunit ribosomal RNA", at positions 340 to 786 of the family's 1533-position model. The record is from RNAcentral.